GGUGGGGUAGCUUAAUGGUAGAGCAUUUGAAUCAUAAUCAAAUAAGUGUAGGUUCAAUUCCUAUCCCCAUCA
RNAcentral lists this transfer RNA (72 nucleotides) under Colponema vietnamica. RNAcentral describes it as "tRNA-Met". It matches the Rfam family "tRNA". From Rfam's summary of the family: Transfer RNA (tRNA) molecules are approximately 80 nucleotides in length. The record is from RNAcentral. Lineage: Eukaryota; Colponemida; Colponemidia.